Molecule: ribosomal RNA, 492 nt
Filed under: uncultured bacterium
Lineage: Bacteria
Description: partial 16S ribosomal RNA
Rfam family: Bacterial small subunit ribosomal RNA
Source: RNAcentral
AGUGAACGCUGGCGGUAGGCCUAACACAUGCAAGUCGAACGGCAGCACAGUAAGAGCUUGCUCUUACGGGUGGCGAGUGGCGGACGGGUGAGGAAUACAUCGGAAUCUACUUUUUCGUGGGGGAUAACGUAGGGAAACUUACGCUAAUACCGCAUACGACCUACGGGUGAAAGCAGGGGAUCUUCGGACCUUGCGCGAUUGAAUGAGCCGAUGUCGGAUUAGCUAGUUGGCGGGGUAAGGGCCCACCAAGGCGACGAUCCGUAGCUGGUCUGAGAGGAUGGUCAGCCACACUGGAACUGAGACACGGUCCAGACUCCUACGGGAGGCAGCAGUGGGGAAUAUUGGACAAUGGGCGCAAGCCUGAUCCAGCCAUACCGCGUGGGUGAAGAAGGCCUUCGGGUUGUAAAGCCCUUUUGUUGGGAAAGAAAAGCAGCAGGUUAAUACCCCGCUGUUCUGACGGUACCCAAAGAAUAAGCACCGGCUAACUUCGUG